This 253-nucleotide ribosomal RNA is filed under the name uncultured bacterium. RNAcentral describes it as "partial 16S ribosomal RNA". It matches the Rfam family "Bacterial small subunit ribosomal RNA", at positions 524 to 776 of the family's 1533-position model. The record is from RNAcentral.
UACAGAGGGUGCAAGCGUUGUUCGGAAUUAUUGGGCGUAAAGGGCGCGUAGGCGGUGCCACAAGUCACCUGUGAAAUCUCCGGGCUUAACUCGGAGCCUGCAGGCGAAACUGUGGUGCUGGAGUGUGGGAGAGGUGCGUGGAAUUCCCGGCGUAGCGGUGAAAUGCGUAGAUAUCGGGAGGAACACCUGUGGCGAAAGCGGCGCACUGGACCAUAACUGACGCUGAGGCGCGAAAGCUAGGGGAGCAAACAGG